Molecule: transfer RNA, 77 nt
Filed under: Bacillota bacterium
Lineage: Bacteria; Bacillati; Bacillota
Description: tRNA-Arg
Rfam family: tRNA
About the family: Transfer RNA (tRNA) molecules are approximately 80 nucleotides in length. Their secondary structure includes four short double-helical elements and three loops (D, anti-codon, and T loops).
Source: RNAcentral
GCUCUCGUAGCUCACUUGGAUAGAGCGAUUCCCUCCGAAGGAAUAGGUAGUGAGUUCGAAUCUCACCGAGGGCACCA